This is a long non-coding RNA of Pistacia vera, 347 nucleotides long. RefSeq lists it as uncharacterized. The transcript has 3 exons. Lineage: Eukaryota; Viridiplantae; Streptophyta; Magnoliopsida; Sapindales; Anacardiaceae. The record is from RefSeq and is a predicted model, not a curated record.
ACAACACACGUCUUUCACUUCCGCUUCUUUUCUCUUGAGAAUUUUAAUUAGUGUUUCUUUUGCAGUGCUCUGAUUAAAGUGUUUUCGAUUCAGAUCCACCAUUGCAGCCAACGAUGAGUUCUCCGACUAGUUGCCGGUGAAUUGGGUAUAUGGUUGAUCACAAACUUUAUUGAUGCUUUCAGACUGCACAUACUCCAUGGCUUUCACCAAAGGUUUUGGCGUCUACGGGUUCGUUUUGGUGAGGAUUCUGAAUAAAGGAAUUUUCUUUUAAGUUCUUUCGGAGAAGCGUCUCUGUCUCUCUGUGUUCUGUGAAUGUGAAUUGGAAUGCUUAUUGUGCUGAAACCAAA